This 292-nucleotide ribosomal RNA is filed under the name uncultured prokaryote. Its description in RNAcentral is "partial 16S ribosomal RNA". It matches the Rfam family "Bacterial small subunit ribosomal RNA", at positions 505 to 796 of the family's 1533-position model. The record is from RNAcentral.
GUGUCAGCAGCCGCGGUAAUACGUAAGGGGCGAUCGUUGUCCGGAAUUAUUGGGCGUAAAGAGUGCGUAGGCGGCAAGUUAAGUCAGAUGUGAAAACUAAGGGCUCAACCCAUAGAUUGCAUCUGAAACUGAUAUGCUUGAGUCAAGGAGAGGAAAGUGGAAUUCCUAGUGUAGCGGUGGAAUGCGUAGAUAUUAGGAGGAAUACCGGUGGCGAAGGCGACUUUCUGGACUUGAACUGACGCUGAGGCACGAAAGCGUGGGGAGCAAACAGGAUUAGAAACCCUAGUAGUCC